GGCUUUCUUCGCGGCGGAGCUCGACCGCCCACCGAAGUAUUGACCGCGUUCAUCGACGAGCACCGUGACGUGUUCGGGGUCGAGCCGAUCUGCCGCGUGCUGAGCCAGCACGGCGCCGCGAUCGCCCCG
This is a regulatory RNA element of Agrococcus pavilionensis RW1, 129 nucleotides long. It matches the Rfam family "ALIL pseudoknot". The record is from Rfam. NCBI's taxonomy places the organism in Bacteria, Bacillati, Actinomycetota, Actinomycetes, Micrococcales, Microbacteriaceae.